CCCGGGCCUUGUACACACCGCCCGUCACACCAUGGGAGUUGGUUUUACCCGAAAGCCGGUCAUGCUAACCCGCGAGGGGGGCAGCCGACCACGGUAAGGUCAGCGACUGGGGUG
RNAcentral lists this ribosomal RNA (114 nucleotides) under uncultured bacterium. RNAcentral's name for it is "partial 16S ribosomal RNA". It matches the Rfam family "Bacterial small subunit ribosomal RNA", at positions 1373 to 1482 of the family's 1533-position model. The record is from RNAcentral.